This is a non-coding RNA of Chelonoidis abingdonii (Abingdon island giant tortoise), 671 nucleotides long. NCBI's taxonomy places the organism in Eukaryota, Metazoa, Chordata, Testudines, Testudinidae. The record is from the annotation of a RefSeq genome assembly.
GCAGUGACUCUCUUUCCCGGUUGUUUCCACCCGCCCCCUGACCCUGCGGCUCGCCAAGAAGCGCUGUCCGCGCAGGGAGCAGCUCCUGCCAGUCCCCAGCGCGAGGACAGGCCGCAGACGCGCAGAGACGAUGCUGUGGUGGCUGCAUUUUGCUUUCAUCGCAGCAGCGUCCAAAGGGGCCCAGGGCCAGGUGCUGCUGGUGGAGUCCGGGGGCGGGACUGUGAACACAGGCGGCUCCAGGCGGCUCUCCUGCACCGGCUCCGGAUUCACCUUCAGCAGCUACACCAUGUUCUGGUACCGGCAGGCCCCCGGGAAAGGGCUGGAAUGGGUCUCCUGGAUCAGCGGCAGUGGCGGCAACACAGAUUACACUAACGCAGUGAAAGGGCGAAUCACCGUCACUAGAGACAACGCUAAGAACCAGCAGUAUCUGCAAAUGAGCCGCCUGCGACCCGAGGACACCGCCCGGUAUUACUGUGCUAGAGACACAGUGACGGGAAGCCGGGCUGAGCUCUGACAAAAACUCGCUGCGUUCAGCCCAGGGAUUCGGGAGGGUCACGUGACCAACAUCACCCCCUGAAGUCCCGUGUCCCUGAGCCUCUUCCCAUAACCGGCCGCUUACCCACCCCCAGCAGCCUCUGGAUGGCGUCCGUCCUCGUGCAGUGUGGUGCAUG